RNA transcript from Leptopilina heterotoma, 958 nucleotides. RefSeq lists it as uncharacterized. The record is from RefSeq and is a predicted model, not a curated record. NCBI's taxonomy places the organism in Eukaryota, Metazoa, Arthropoda, Insecta, Hymenoptera, Figitidae. The transcript has 7 exons.
AUGUCAACGGUGUAAACAAUAGUUUCAAACGUAAAUAAAAAUAAAAAUUUGUUUUUCAAAUAAGUUCGGUUGUAAUUAAGAAUUGUGCAGUGAAUAAUUUAGGAAGAACAGUUUCUUUAGUGUAUUGUGUCAAUGAUCUUUAGAAGGUUUCUUGUUCACAAAGAUUCGUAAAACCCGUAAAACAUAAUGAAAAGUCGUUUUUAGGUUAGGUUCCAAUAUAUAGUUUAUUAUAACGUUCGUUUCUGUUUAAAAACAAUUCUAUAAUUAACAAUAGAGCUAAAAUGAAUAAAGUGGAUGCAUUUAUUGCCGUUUUAAAAGAAAAGAAUAAAUUGCAACAGGAGAAAUGCAAAAUAGAGAAAAAUGAUCAGGAGAAAGAGAAAACGAAAAUGAUCAACGAUGUUGUUGAAACAACUGAAAACUUGAUUCAAACGAAAGAAAACAUUGCGAAAAAUUUGAGUUUUUUAACAUCGAAUAAACAUUCGAUAUUUAAAGUGACACAGGAAGCAGAGACAACAAAAGGUCUUCCAAUAUCUUCCGAAUGCCAACAGCAAGCUUUGAAUUUAUUUACAAACAGCAUCACAUUUUUAAAUAAUUUUCAAGACGUUCAAAGAACUUUAGAAACAGAUAAAAAUAUAGAACUUUCGAAACCUGCAGGUGAUAUCGUGCGAAGCACAAGAUCAAUAGAGAACGAAUUAAAGAAAUUAAGAUCAUCUUUCAAUCAAAUUGAAGCUUUGCAGUUAAAAGUCGAACAAUUGAAAAAUACUCUCUUCAUUCCUGAAAGUGAAACUCAACAGGAGUUAGAUGAUUCCAUUUAUAUUAAUACAUAAGAAUGUAAUCGAAAUAUUGGCUGGACGCAUCCAAUUUAUUGUCAAGGUCCAAUUUCAAUAAAAUCAAUUGAGGAUCCACAAUAUCCUAGAAUGAAGACGACGUGCUGCAUCAUGAAUGGCAAGGAUGUGAG